Long non-coding RNA from Cyprinus carpio carpio, 1052 nucleotides. NCBI's taxonomy places the organism in Eukaryota, Metazoa, Chordata, Actinopteri, Cypriniformes, Cyprinidae. The record is from Ensembl.
AACACCACCACACGUGCAGUUGUCUGGGGAGGGUCCUCGAGGGAGCUUCGCAGACUACGUGGAGUGGGUGCUGGUUUCAUGCAGUUCAUCCCUGACCGUCGGACCACUGGAGCCUAAUGUGACAUCUGACCAGGAGCAAGAGCUGGCAACAAUGCACUCGGCGGUGGAUGAAAAAGUGGAGAGCAUGUGCGUGGAGGAAUGCCCAGCCCAUUGCACCACCGCUGAGGGUGAGCUGAGGCAGGACUCAGAGGAUUUAGAUGCAGACAUGCCCGUUUUCUUCCUGUCUGAACCAUCUGUCUGGCCCGAACUGUCAGUAUGUCCUGAACUGUCUACUCGUCUUGAAUUACCUGUCUGUUCCAUCAUGACCAUGGAGGUAGGUUCUGAACUGUUUGUCCACCCUGAACUGUCUGUCAUUCCUGUCAUGACCACGGAGGUCAUUCCCCUGUCCUCCACGCUCCCAGUGUUGGUAGUCACAAAUUGGUGUGUGUCGGCGGCAUACACCUUCCUGGAGGACCCCGUCUGUCACGACAUCCCACCCAGUCUCCCUCUCCCACCUCCUCUCCUGUGUCCUCUGUCAUUUUCUGUUCCUCUGCCGCUGCAUCCCGCCGGCCCCUCAGCUCAUCCUCAGCCUAGUAUCUGUGUUGUGGGUUCGCUGUGGGUCUGCCAGUCUCCAUUGGUGCUGUGACUGGAGGAUCCUUUGCAGGAGGAUACCCGGCAGCUCCACCAUGGCUCCUAGCUCCCUCCUCUCUGCCAUGGCGCGUCAGUCCUCCUCCCGCUUCGCCUCAUUGUUUCGUCCCUCUGGCUCUGUUGGGCUCCUUCCUCCCUCCAGCUCCACCUUGGUCCUCUGUCGCUCCGGCUCCACCAUGGCCUUCUGGAUCACCGCCUGUGCCUCGGUUGCCAGAGCCAUCUGCUCUACCUUGGCCAUCAGGAUCCUCCCCAUCGCCCUGGCUCUGCGGCUCUCCGUCUCCACCCUGGGCUCCUCUCCCACCUGCUCUGCCUCCGUCAGUCGGCUCCCUGGUGUUGUCAGCCCUUCCUUCACCAUGGCUGCUCCC